Molecule: ribosomal RNA, 1323 nt
Filed under: metagenome
Description: bacterial LSU rRNA
Rfam family: Bacterial large subunit ribosomal RNA
Source: RNAcentral
AGUGGAUGGGGAGCAACCUAGUUGUGCGUGUGUAAAGGUAGUGCCAAGAAAAGCGAUGAUCAUGUUGAAAAUCAAUUCCCGGUACCCGAAACCGACACAGGUGGGCAAGUAGAGAAUACUAAGGGGCGCGAGGAAACUGUCUCCGAGGAACUCGGCAAAAUGACCCCGUAACUUAGGGAGAAGGGGUGCCACCGAGAGGUGGUCGCAGUGAAGAGGCCCAGGCGACUGUUUAGCAAAACAUAGGUCUCUGCAAACUCGAAAGAGGAGGUAUAGGGGCUGACGCCUGCCCAGUGCCGGAAGGUUAAAGAAGUUGGUCAGUUUUAGGAUGAAGCUAGCGACUGAAGCCCCGGUGAGCGGCGGUCGUAACUAUAACGGUCCUAAGGUAGCGAAAUUCCUUGUCGGGUAAGUUCCGACCCGCACGAAAGGCGUAACGAUCUGGGCGCUGUCUCGGAGAGAGGCUCGGCGAAAUAGGAUUGUCUGUGAAGAUACGGACUACCUGCAUUUGGACAGAAAGACCCUAUGAAGCUUUACUAUAGCUUGGAAUUGUGUUCGGGCUUCCUGUGCGCAGGAUAGGUGGGAGGCGUAGAAGGUAUUCUUGUGGGGAUACUGGAGCCAACGGUGAGAUACCACUCUCAGGAGGCUAGAAUUCUAACUUAAUUAAGGACAGUUUCAGGUGGGUAGUUUGACUGGGGCGGUCGCCUCCAAAAAGGUAACGGAGGCGUACAAAGGUUCCCUCAGACUGGUUGGAAAUCAGUCGAAGAGUGCAAAGGCAGAAGGGAGCUUGACUGCGAGAAGUACAGUUCGAGCAGGGUGGAAACACGGUCUUAGUGAUCCGACGGUGCUGUGUGGAAGGGCCGUCGCUCAACGGAUAAAAGUUACUCUAGGAUAACAGGCUGAUCUCCCCCAAGAGUUCACAUCGACGGGGAGGUUUGGCACCUCGAUGUCGGCUCAUCGCAACCUGGGGCGGAAGUACGUCCCAAGGGUUGGGCUGUUCGCCCAUUAAAGCGGUACGUGAGCUGGGUUCAGAACGUCGUGAGACAGUUCGGUCCAUAUCCGAUGUAGGCGUGAGAAUAUUGAGAGGAGCCUUCCUUAGUACGAGAGGACCGGGAAGGACGCACCGCUGGUGUACCUGUUAUGAUGCCAAUUGUAAACGCAGGGUAGCCAAGUGCGGAGAGGAUAACCGCUGAAAGCAUCUAAGUGGGAAGCCCACCUCAAGAUGAGUAUUCUGGUGUAAGGUCACGGGAAGACGACCCGUAAAUAGGCACGAGGUGGAAGUGCAGAGAUGUAUGAAGCCGAAGUGUACUAAUAGACCGUCGGCUUGAU